AGAGUUUGAUCCUGGCUCAGGACGAACGCUGGCGGCGUGCCUAAUACAUGCAAGUCGUGCGGACCUUUUAAAAGCUUGCUUUUAAAAGGUUAGCGGCGGACGGGUGAGUAACACGUGGGCAACCUGCCUGUAAGACCGGGAUAACGCCGGGAAACCGGGGCUAAUACCGGAUAGUUUUUUCCUCCGCAUGGAGGAAAAAGGAAAGGCGGCUUCGGCUGCCACUUACAGAUGGGCCCGCGGCGCAUUAGCUAGUUGGCGGGGUAACGGCCCACCAAGGCAACGAUGCGUAGCCGACCUGAGAGGGUGAUCGGCCACAUUGGGACUGAGACACGGCCCAAACUCCUACGGGAGGCAGCAGUAGGGAAUCUCCCGCAAUGGACGAAAGUCUGACGGAGCAACGCCGCGUGAGUGAAGAAGGCCUUCGGGUCGUAAAACUCUGUUGCCGGGGAAGAACAAGUGCCGUUCGAACAGGGCGGCGCCUUGACGGUACCCGGCCAGAAAG
Molecule: ribosomal RNA, 502 nt
Filed under: uncultured bacterium
Lineage: Bacteria
Description: bacterial SSU rRNA
Rfam family: Bacterial small subunit ribosomal RNA
Source: RNAcentral